RNA transcript from Ziziphus jujuba (common jujube), 2973 nucleotides. It is a transcript of the gene named anaphase-promoting complex subunit 8, with no coding region annotated. The record is from RefSeq and is a predicted model, not a curated record. The transcript has 5 exons. NCBI's taxonomy places the organism in Eukaryota, Viridiplantae, Streptophyta, Magnoliopsida, Rosales, Rhamnaceae.
GUUAGAGGCGCCCACAGUUUUGAUUUGAAAGCAAAAUCAAAGAGAGCGAGCGAGAGUGAGAGACAGAGCCAAGGAUGAGCUCCAAAGAGAAUUGCCGGAACGAGCUUCGAACUGCGAUUCGUCAGCUCAGUGAUCGUUGCCUCUACGCCGCCUCCAAAUGGGCGGCAGAACAGCUGGUGGGUAUUGAGCAAGACCCAGCAAAGUUCACUCCUGCAAACACCAGAUUCCAACGAGGAAGCUCAAGCAUCCGCCGCAGAUUCCAUACCAAUGAGAGCACUUCAACACCGAUUUCUGGUGUGUUGUAUGUAUCUACUCCAGUAAUGGAGGAAGAUGAGGUCGUGGAUGGUGACUUUUACCUUUUGGCCAAAACAUAUUUUGAUUGCCGAGAGUACAGAAGGGCUGCACACGUGCUCCGGGAUCAGAUUGGAAAGAAAUCCGUGUUCUUGCGCUGCUAUGCUCUUUAUCUGGCUGGAGAAAAGCGGAAAGAGGAAGAAAUGAUAGAGCUGGAGGGGCCCUUAGGUAAGAGUGAUGCUGUUAACCGUGAAAUAGCUGCUCUGGAGAGGGAGUUAUCGACACUUAGAAAGAAUGGCACAAUUGAUCCUUUUGGAUUAUACUUGUAUGGCCUUGUGCUCAAAGAGAAAGGCAGUGAGAAUCUUGCUCGUAUUGUUCUUGUGGAAUCUGUGAAUAGCUACCCUUGGAACUGGAGUGCCUGGUCAGAGUUGCAGUCCUUAUGCACUACAGUUGACAUUUUGAACAGCCUUAAUCUCAAUAGCCAUUGGAUGAAGGACUUCUUUCUUGCCAGCGCAUACCAAGAGCUAAGGAUGCAAAAUGAAGCCUUGGCAAAAUAUGAAUAUCUGCAGAGUAUUUUCAGUUUUAGCAAUUACAUUCAGGCUCAAAUUGCAAAAGCCAAAUAUAGUUUAAGGGAAUUUGAACAGGUUGAAGCAAUUUUUGAAGAACUUCUAAGGAAUGACCCUUAUCGAGUUGAAGACAUGGAUAUGUAUUCCAACGUGCUUUAUGCAAAAGAGUGUUUUUCUGCCCUGAGUUACCUGGCCCAUAGGGUAUUUAUGACUGAUAAAUAUAGACCUGAAUCUUGUUGCAUUAUUGGCAACUAUUACAGUUUAAAAGGGCAGCAUGAGAAGUCAGUUGUUUAUUUUAAAAGGGCACUCAAAUUGAAUAAAAACUAUUUGUCUGCUUGGACACUUAUGGGUCAUGAGUUUGUUGAAAUGAAGAAUACUCCAGCUGCUGUUGAUGCCUAUCGGCGUGCUGUAGAUAUAAAUCCAUGUGAUUAUCGAGCAUGGUAUGGAUUAGGACAAGCUUAUGAGAUGAUGGGCAUGCCCUUCUAUGCUCUUCAUUACUUCAAGAAAUCUGUUUUCUUGCAGCCAAAUGACUCUCGAUUGUGGAUUGCCAUGGCUCAUUGUUAUGAAACUGAACAGCUUAGCAUGCUCGAGGAAGCAGUCAAGUGUUACAAAAGGGCAGUUAAUUGUAAUGACAGGGAAGCAAUUGCACUACACCAGCUAGCAAAGCUACACUGCGAGCUAGGACAACUUGAAGAGGCAGCUUUUUACUACAAGAAGGAUUUGGAAAGGAUGGAAACUGAAGAGAGGGAAGGACCAAAUAUGGUUGAAGCUUUGCUUUUUCUAGCUCAAUACUACAGAGGCCAAAAGAGAUUUGAAGAUGCUGAGGUUUAUUGCACCCGACUUCUGGACUACACUGGCCCAGAAAAGGAAACAGCAAAGAAUAUACUACGAGGAAUGAGACUAGGACAAUCUAGUUUCCCUUCUAUGGAUGUUGAACACUUUCCUCCCUGAAGUUGUCUCCCUACUGCACAUUAAAUGUACGCCUCUGCUUCUGCCAGUUUCGGGCUAAUGGAAAUCAACAGCCAAAGAGAAGGCUUGGAAGGGAUUUACAUGAGCCGAUCAAGAUACCAGGAUGUGGGCCCGUCCAUGGAAUUGACCUUGUAGACGCUCUUCAUGACAGGAAAAGCGAGUCCUACAAGUGGGCUAUUCACACGACCAAGAGAUUUUCUCUUGCUUCUGGGAUCAUAGUCAACAGCUCCAUGGAUUUGGAACCAGUUGCUUUCGAUGCUUUGAAAGAAAAAAGUGCUGCUUGGUAACUCCCCUGUUUACCCUGUUGGACCUCUGAUACAAAGAGCUUCCAUUAAUGUCGAUGAUGGGUCUGAGUGGUUGAGAUGGUUGGAAAAUCAGCCAAAUGGGUCAUUGUUGUUGGCGUCGUUUGGAAGUAGUGGGAAACUAUCAACUGAGCAGUUAAACGAGUUGGCGAAGGGAUUGAAAUUCAGUGGGCAGAGGUUUCUUUGGGUAGUGAGAAGCCCCCAUGAAAAAGCCUCAGAUAUCGGCUUUUACAGUGAAGAAAUAAGCUGCAUUGGCAAUGCCUAUGGUUUUUUGCCAAAAGGGUUUGCAGAGAGGACAAAAGGAGUCGGGCUUUUGGUGCCAAACUGAGCUCCUCAGGUGGAGAUUUUAAGCCAUGGUUCAACUGGAGGAUUCCGAAGCCAUUGUGGGUGGAACUUAUUACUGGAAAGCAUCGUUCAUGAAGUGCCUUUGAUUGCAUGGCCACUUUUUGCAUAGCAAAAGAUGAACGCAGUGUUGGUGGCUGAUGAUCUGAAAGUGGAACUGAGAGUCAAAAUGAAUGAGAAAGGGCUAGUUGGGCACCAAGAUACUGCAAAGUAUGCAAGGGAAGUGAUUGAAGGAGAAGAAGGGGAAUUGAUUAGGAAGAGCAUUAAACAGCUCAAGGAAGCAGCAAGAUUGGGUGUGAGUGAUCAAGGGUCUUCUACAAAAUCUCUUGCAGAGGUUGCUCAAAUAUGGAACGCUACUUAAUAUUGAAUAAAAGGGAUAAUCUUUUUGGUUACAGAAUGGUUUGAAUUAGCAUUGCAUACUAAUUCCCCAUGAGUUCUUGCUACUGCAAACUUUUGCCUCAUAUGUAUACAAAUCAGCAAGACGAAUAAAGGCAAACGAAAUG